RNAcentral lists this ribosomal RNA (831 nucleotides) under Triticum aestivum (bread wheat). RNAcentral's name for it is "partial small subunit ribosomal RNA". The record is from RNAcentral. Lineage: Eukaryota; Viridiplantae; Streptophyta; Magnoliopsida; Poales; Poaceae.
AUGUCUGCAGGUCGCUCUCAGCACACGGCUACCUCGAGCAUGCGGCGCCGGCAGGAGGCCGAGCGCGCCGUGGCUAAGGAGCGUGAGCGAGCAGCUGUAGCAGCAGCUGCGGCGGCAGCAAGGGUGUCGAGGCUGGCUGCAGCGGAGCUGGCAGCAGCCAAAGCGGAGGUAGAAGCAGCCAGGGUGGAGUUAGAAGCAGCAGCAGCAGCGGACGCAGCACGUGAGGCUACGACAGAUGCCAAAGCACUCCGCGGCGGCUCCGGCAGCUCCAACAGCUCCGCGCCUGCGGACGACGGCGCUGACGCAGACCGCGCCAAAGUGGCGCAAGAGCGGACGGCGCAGUGGGCAGUCGAGCACGCCCGCGCUCCAGGUGGAGGUGUGCACCGCGACGGCGGCUGCAACGACCAGGACCGCGGCCUCUACGAGGUCCGGACUGUGGUCAGGGAUGUUGGUCCCAGUGCUGGGUGGCCUACCCUCACUAAAACCAACUACGUCGAGUGGGCCGGGAUCAUGAAGGUCAGGCUCCAGGUGCGGCGCAUGUGGGAGGCAGUCCAGGACAGCAACGUCGACCACCAAGAGGACCGACGGGCGCUGGACGCCCUCAUCCCCGCAGUCCCGCCCGAGAUGCAGUUCUCGCUUUCCAGCAAGCGGACUGCCAAGGAAGCUUGGGACGCCAUCGCCGCGGCACGCAUCGGCAGCGACCGUGCUUGGAAGUCCACUCUGCAGGCACUUCGUAAGGAGUGGGAGAGCCUGGCUUUCAAGCCAGGUGAGGACGUUGAUGACUUUGCUCUCCGUCUCAACACUGCUGCAGAAGUUGGUGAAGUUUGGUGA